CUGGGAGUGCAAGUACUCGAAAGGCAUUACUGGGAAAGGAGUGAGUCUUUUUCAGAUUUGUCUUCUGCUAUUAGGAGCUGUGCUCUUCGACAAAAGUACUCCAAGCUUCGCAUUGUUCUUCCUUUUGAUGAUGGUGAAUAUCGCAUGGGAGCUAGAUCUGGCUAGUUGGAUUUCCACCAUAAAAACACAUUUCAUAUGAUAUUCUUCGUUUUGGGAGACUACAAGAGGACAUCUAAUCCCUGAAAAUGGAGUUACAGGCAGCUGCAAGGUGCCUCCUGUGGACACAGUGAGCUGAACUCUGGUACUCUACAUGAGAGUUCUAGACAUGUCUGAAAUCUGACAAAGAUGCACUGAGAUGUUUGAAUGUGACUCCAGAGUGGUCUUUGCCACCUCCUGCUCUGGUCUCCAGAUGUGAAUCUGAAGCUCUUUGCUGAACAAGACACCUUGACACCAUGGAACACCACCAACCAAAACUAUCAGAUGACUGAAACCAUGAACCCCAAGACAUAAAUAAAUUUCCUAGGAAAUUUCCUGGAAGAAGAAAUGGCUGAAGUCCCAGGGGCAACCAGAGACAGAGCUCUCUGCCAGAGGAGGAACUUAUGUCUGGAAAAGGAUUUAUAAGUUGUGAGACAACCAUAUGGACCUCUUGGAGCAGAGGCAAUGUUGGACAGGGUAGUGGCGAUAGUGGGAUGUGUGUGAGACCACACUUUGGCUGAAUAUUCACCCAUGAAUAUCUCUUGCUAGUUUAAUUAAACCCCUACCCUCAUGUUAGUCCCAAAGACAGACCUUGAAUAGCCAUUGACCUCUUUGUCCCUCUCCCUGAUAUGGCCACAUUAAAUAAAUCUUCUUUAAUAGCA
This is a long non-coding RNA of Grammomys surdaster, 857 nucleotides long. RefSeq lists it as uncharacterized. The record is from RefSeq and is a predicted model, not a curated record. The transcript has 4 exons. NCBI's taxonomy places the organism in Eukaryota, Metazoa, Chordata, Mammalia, Rodentia, Muridae.